Molecule: long non-coding RNA, 1081 nt
Filed under: Monodelphis domestica (gray short-tailed opossum)
Lineage: Eukaryota; Metazoa; Chordata; Mammalia; Didelphimorphia; Didelphidae
Description: lncRNA (ENSMODG00000045624.1)
Source: RNAcentral
UCACUGCCUCGGUUGGUUGGAGAGUUGUUAGCUGCUGCUGCCGCCGCCGCCGCUGCUCAGUGCACACGGCCCGCCCCUGCCGCCGUCGCCACCGGUGGGGUUUUCGCUGACGUCCCAGCCCCGCCUCCUCCAGCCUCGGGACUUGGGGCCGAGACCGAGGGACAGACGGCAGAAAGCGCAUCGCAGCGGGGCUGCCUGCACAACGGGGUAGCUGGAGACGGAGGGGGGCGGCGCGAGAGAGUGCAAGCGCGAGACCCACUCCCUGGAGCCGCGAGAGCUUCGCCCGGAGGUGGAGGAAGGAGAAGGAGGGGCCCUAUAAAAAGACAGUCGGGAACUUCCCCCCCCCCCACCCCGGCCUCCGAAUCUCCGCCUGACCUCGGGGAGGAAGCGGCCGCGCCGCCGCCGUUGUCGUCGUACCCUCUUCCCUCCGCCUCUAAUAGCGCCCGUCCCCCUCUCAUUCCCUCCUCCCACUUCCCGAGCCCCUCGGCGUGUCUCGGCCACGCUCCGCGCCGCCGAAACAAAGGAAAGAAUCAGGGAGCGGAGGCGGUCGCGCGAGCUCGGGCCCCCGGGCUUCCUCUCGCUCGCGCGCCCGGUUCCGGCGCAGCCAACGGCACCUGGGCGCUGUGGAGGAGACGGCGCCUGAGGAGGAAGAGGAGCCGCUGGUGCUACCGCCAUCGCUGCAGCUGCCGGUGCUCCCGUUCCUGCUGGUGGGCGCGAGCUCCGUCCAGGACCAGCCCCGCCGCACGCGCCUCGCCCGACCCGGGAGUCGCCGCUGCCUUCGCUGCCGCGCGCCCUCCUUCGCCGCCCCUCCUCUUCCAAGCCGUCGCGGAGGCCGAGCCGACCGCCCUCUCCGCCUCUUGCAGUUUCUUCUCACUCCAUCUUCUUCAGGGUUUUUCCGUCGCCUGGAGCCCACCUUAACAGGGAAUUCUUAUCCAGGAGACAACCUACCUCUUCAAUUUGUGGCAGAUCAGUUGAUUACACUGAGUGCCAAUUAUAACAGUGCCCUUGGAAACACAAGGAUUUGGUUGCUAUAUCGAGUUCUGUCUAGUAACCUUGCAUCACAGAUUAACCACUAGUGAAG